UAUAAGGCCAACCCAUUGAGCCAGGAGGGAGACGUUUGUCUUUGGAAUGAUGCCAUUGAAGAAAAAGAGGAAGGAGAAAAAGAAUCAAGAAGAGCAGUAUCACCAUUAUUAACACGAACCCAAGUUCUUGAUGAGACUGAUAAAAGGAAUAAGCAGCAGCAGAACUUGAUGAUAAAGAUGAUAAAAGAGUAGUAAGCUGCUGCAUGGCUGUAAAGAUCAGAAAGACACAAAAAUAGAGAGAAAGAGAGGUGGCAGAAGUUAACUUGAACAUGUGCUACAAGUAUAUGAAUGUGUAUCAGGGGGAUGAAGCUUUUUAUAUAAUAUAUAUAUAUAUAUAUAUUUAAAGAGAGGGAGAGAGAAGUUAUAAAAGGUGACAGGCGUCACCAGGUUUAUGGGAACACCUUGCUUCUGUGUUCUCAAGUGUGCCCCUCCUUUCCCUUCCCUUUUUUAGGGCCUAUUACCCCUCCGACUCCGGACCCCAACAAUGCCUCUUAACAUUUUUCGUCAAAUAAUAAUAAUAUAAAUAAUAACAUUAAAGCCCCUUUGUUUCUCUUAUGGACACGUUUUUUCUCAUACUUACAGCCUCCCUGCCUCUCACGCGUUUCUUUUUUGUGUGUUCUAAUUAGCUUCUGCAUUUUCU
RNAcentral lists this long non-coding RNA (640 nucleotides) under Ricinus communis (castor bean). RNAcentral's name for it is "long non-coding RNA (RCOM_LNC003397)". Lineage: Eukaryota; Viridiplantae; Streptophyta; Magnoliopsida; Malpighiales; Euphorbiaceae. The record is from RNAcentral.